GACGAACGCUGGCGGCGUGCUUAACACAUGCAAGUCGAACGGAAAGGCCCUGCUUUUGUGGGGUGCUCGAGUGGCGAACGGGUGAGUAACACGUGAGUAACCUGCCCUGUACUUUGGGAUAACUUCAGGAAACUGGGGCUAAUACCGGAUAGGAUCUCCUGCUGCAUGGUGGGGGUUGGAAAGGUUCGGCGGUUGGGGAUGGACUCGCGGCUUAUCAGCGUGUUGGUGGGGUAGUGGCUUACCAAGGCUUUGACGGGUAGCCGGCCUGAGAGGGUGACCGGCCACAUUGGGACUGAGAUACGGCCAAGACUCCUACGGGGGGCAGAAGUGGGGAAUAGUGCACGAUGGGCGGAAGCCUGAUGCAGCAACGCCGCGUGGGGGAUGACGGCCUUCGGGUUGUAAACCGCUUUCGCCUGUGACGAAGCGUGAGUGACGGUAAUGGGUAAAGAAGCACCGGCUAACUACGUG
Molecule: ribosomal RNA, 468 nt
Filed under: uncultured bacterium
Lineage: Bacteria
Description: partial 16S ribosomal RNA
Rfam family: Bacterial small subunit ribosomal RNA
Source: RNAcentral